UACGGAAGGCAGCAGUGGGGAAUAUUGCACAAUGGGCGAAAGCCUGAUGCAGCUAUGCCGCGUGUAUGAAGAAGGCCUUAGGGUUGUAAAGUACUUUCAUCGGGGAGGAAAAACAAAACUAAUAAUUUUAUUUCUUGACGUUACCCGAAAAAGAAGCACCGGCUAACUCCGUGCCAGCAGCCGCGGUAAUACGGAGGGUGCUAGCGUUAAUCAGAAUUACUGGGCGUAAAGAGCACGUAAGUGGUUUUUUAAGUCAGAUGUGAAAUCCCUGGGCUUAACCUAGGAACUGCAUUUUGAAACUGAAAUACUAGAGUAUCGUAGAGGGAGGUAGAAUUCUAGGUGUAGCGGUGAAAUGCGUAGAUAUCUGGAGGAAUACCUGUGGCGAAAGCGGCCUCCUAAACGAAUACUGACACUGAGGUGCGAAAGCGUGGGGAGCAAACAGGGAUUAGAUACC
This 454-nucleotide ribosomal RNA is filed under the name uncultured bacterium. RNAcentral's name for it is "bacterial SSU rRNA". It matches the Rfam family "Bacterial small subunit ribosomal RNA", at positions 340 to 786 of the family's 1533-position model. The record is from RNAcentral.